RNAcentral lists this ribosomal RNA (461 nucleotides) under uncultured bacterium. Its description in RNAcentral is "partial 16S ribosomal RNA". It matches the Rfam family "Bacterial small subunit ribosomal RNA", at positions 29 to 523 of the family's 1533-position model. The record is from RNAcentral.
AACGAACGCUGGCGGCAGGCUUAACACAUGCAAGUCGAACGAUGAAGUCUAGCUUGCUAGAUGGAUUAGUGGCGCACGGGUGAGUAACACGUGGGAAUCUGCCCUUGGGUACGGAAUAGCUCCGGGAUACUGGAAAUAAUACCGUAUGAUGUCUUCGGACCAAAGAUUUAUCGCCCAAGGAUGAGCCCGCGUCUGAUUAGGUAGUUGGUGGGGUAAUGGCCUACCAAGCCGACGAUCAGUAGCUGGUCUGAGAGGAUGAUCAGCCACACUGGGACUGAGACCCGGCCCAGACUGCUACGGGAGGCAGCAGUGGGGAAUCUUGGACAAUGGGGGAAACCCUGAUCCAGCCAUGCCGCGUGAGUGAAGAAGGCCUUAGGGUUGUAAAGCUCUUUUAAUCGGGAAGAUAAUGACGGUACCGAUAGAAUAAGCACCGGCUAACUUCGUGCCAGCCGCCGCGGUAA